GUGGUUUAAUUCGAAGCAACGCGUAAGAACCUUACCAGGUCUUGACAUCCCGAUGCUAUUUCUAGAGAUAGAAGUUACUUCGGUACAUCGGUGACAGGUGGUGCAUGGUUGUCGUCAGCUCGUGUCGUGAGAUGUUGGGUUAAGUCCCGCAACGAGCGCAACCCCUAUUGUUAGUUGCCAUCAUUCAGUUGGGCACUCUAGCGAGACUGCCGGUAAUAAACCGGAGGAAGGUGGGGAUGACGUCAAAUCAUCAUGCCCCUUAUGACCUGGGCUACGCACGUGCUACAAUGGUUGGUACAACGAGUUGCGAGUCGGUGACGGCGAGCUAAUCUCUUAAAGCCAAUCUCAGUUCGGAUUGCAGGCUGCGACUCGCCUGCAUGAAGCUGGAGUUGCUAGUAAACGCCGGUCAGCUAUACGGCGUUGAAUAUAUUCCCGGGCCUU
This 441-nucleotide ribosomal RNA is filed under the name uncultured Streptococcus sp. RNAcentral's name for it is "bacterial SSU rRNA". It matches the Rfam family "Bacterial small subunit ribosomal RNA", at positions 941 to 1382 of the family's 1533-position model. Lineage: Bacteria; Bacillati; Bacillota; Bacilli; Lactobacillales; Streptococcaceae. The record is from RNAcentral.